GCAGAAUGUUAGAAACUUUUAGCUACAUGAAAUACAUUUGUACAGUUCAUCAAGCCUUAGGUCAGGACUUUGUCCACACGGUUAAACACCGUUUCUUUUAAUUAUCUGCAAAUGUCCCAGAGUAUUAUUUUUUCCCGAUUAUAUAAGGUGUCCUUUACAAUUUCAGGGAUUAAAAGUUUGAUCCUGCUUCCCACAUGACACUCUGGAAACUCUCCCUGCCUGAGAGCCAGCCUGAGAUCUGCACAUACCUUAAGAUAUGAAAAUACGGGUAAAGUGCUGUACGGAACUGGUUCUGGUUCCCUGUGUAGGAGCAGCCAGGGGAUGGUUUAUAUUACCUAGCUUUUACGUCCCACUUCUUAUCGCUACUGUCCAUCACAAGAGACAUUCAUUUCCUUUUUUUUUUUUUUUUUUUUUUUUUUUUUUUUUGAGGGGGAAGGUGUCUAUUUGUUCUGUUCUGUUUUGUUUUGUUUUUCUGUCUCAGGGAACUUACUGGAUUUAAUUAGCUUUUGAAAACUCCAUCUUUCUGGCCAGAGCGGGGAGCCCCGGUCCCCCCUAGGAGGACCAGCCGGCAGCGUCUGCCGCGGUCCAUGCUGGGAGCAGCACUCCCUAGGAACACGUGGGGAAACCACCAGUACCAACAGCUGCCUCUCCCUGCGACUCCCUUCACCCCACAAACGUUAAGACCGAAGGAGCAACAUCGUAUCUUUCUUUUCUGCCUAGCUGGAGUUCUUUCUUUGAGGUCUUUCUGCUUUAUGCACCUGGGAGCCCAGUGUAAAACGUUUAUUCCAUUUCUUGAGCUAACCUGCCCCAACACUCUGCUUCUACCAGCUACAGAUGGGAGGGGAGAGCAUCGCUGGAGCGCAGGCAGCCGCUCACCCCAAAUAGCCCGGCUCAGGCACGCAGAGGAUGCGAACUGGAAGAUCUUGACUUGGACUGAGUUUCACCAGGAGCACGCGGGAGGGAGGAGCUGUGAACUGUCAUGGUUGCAUCCCACCAGACCACCGCGUGUUAAACGGCUUUUGAACAGAAACAAUACCACAUCUACAGGCUUGGAAUCUCAACUGGAAAUUAGCAUAGUUCAGAGGGGGAGCGUUUACUUGGCACGUCUCUUGCCUGUAGCAGCAGAGGAGCCCAGUGGAAGUUCAGUGGAACUACACCACUUCUCACUAGCUAAAAAUCUGCCCUUGCGUUUUCUGGUUUGCUGCUGUACCCUAACCUGAACAAAAGGUGCUUGGGAAAAAAGACCUUAUUCCAGGAUGUUGCCUUCCAAAUACCUUUAUUCUAAGGUAAAUUGGAGUUCCUUUUUGGCUCUUGUUAACCGAAAUGAAACUUCUGUUCAAACUACAAGAAAUGAAAGGAGGCUUCGUUAGUCUGGGGUUAGUUUGCAAUUCUGGCGCUGCCGCUGUCUGUCUUUGCAAUCUCGGGCCAGUCACCUAAGCCUAUGACAAGGUAUCUCCUGGGAACUGCCAUAUGGAGAGCUGUGAUGGCAGGGGCAGCCAAGUCCAGCCAGCAGCUGACCGCUGUCCAGGGCGGUGGGACCACGCAAUUUGGAGCGGAGAAGGGGUACAGGAACAGUGCUACUGGCAGUGGUGAGCUAUUAGGGUGGCUCAUCCAUCUUGCGGAACCCCAGCUGUCCACACAAGAGAUGCCUUCAUACCAGGUUUGGCAUGGACCCCUUGCUGACCUAGUUCAGUUCUCUAAGCCAACAAAAAAUGUUUGCUACAUUUGCUGAGACAGUUCUCUGCUGGUUUGGCCAGCUGAAUCGAGCAAUUGAUGGGUGAGGUGAGCAGCAGCAGCAGCACACAACAAGAGCAAAGCGCCCAGCUGCAGGGCAGAGAAGAGAGCAAACCAGUGCAGCGCUGAUUUGGAUCAGCUACAGAACCACACCAUUCGAUUAAACCACUGAUGAAGGCUAAGUUUGGCCUAAUCCUUGGCUCUGAAGCAGCUGAAAUGCUGGAACAUGGUGUUUUCUCCAAGCUUUGCUCUGCAAGAGGAGCACUAAUUCCUUAAACUGACAACCCCCCAUCAGGACUCUACUCUUCGUGCUGCUAGAGAACUGCCC
Molecule: long non-coding RNA, 2062 nt
Organism: Struthio camelus australis
Lineage: Eukaryota; Metazoa; Chordata; Aves; Struthioniformes; Struthionidae
Source: Ensembl